Molecule: ribosomal RNA, 440 nt
Filed under: uncultured bacterium
Lineage: Bacteria
Description: partial 16S ribosomal RNA
Rfam family: Bacterial small subunit ribosomal RNA
Source: RNAcentral
CCUACGGGAGGCAGCAGUGGGGAAUAUUGCACAAUGGGGGAAACUCUGAAGCAGCGACGCCGCGUGCGGGAAGAAGUCUUUAGGUACGUAAAGCUCUAUCAGCACGGAGGAAAAUGACGGUACCUGACUAAGAAGCCCAGGCUAACUACGGGCAAGCAGCCGCGGUAAUACGUAGGGGGCAAGCGUUAUCCGGAUUUACUGGGUGUAAAGGGAGCGUAGGCGGCAGCGCAAGUCUGGAGUGAAAUCCCAUGGCUUAACCAUGGAACUGCUUGGGAAACUGUGCAGCUAGAGUGCAGGAGAGGUAAGCGGAAUUCAUAGUGUAGCGGUGAAAUGCGUAGAUAUUAGGAGGAACACCAGUGGCGAAGGCGGCUUACUGGACUGUAACUGACGUUGAGGCACGAAAGCGUGGGGAGCAAACAGGAUUAGAUACCCCAGUAGUC